CCCCCCAGGAAGGACAAGAGCAACUUUAUCAACAGGGAGAAAGAAAGACCUAAACUUCAAUAUACAAAAAGUGGAUAAAUGAAGGAAAAUCAAAUUUGAGGGAGAAAAGUGCAGCACAUUAGGAAACACCAUUGAAGAUGCCACUUUACUACCAUCACCUUCAGAAGCGUGUCUUCCACUGACUUUGCUGAUAGCAAGUGGGCUGUUGCUACAGAAUACAAUAUUUUCCUCUGAAACCAAGAUCUGUGCUGACUUCAAUGGAAAAUUUCCUGCUAAUGGAGCAUAGGAUUAAGUAAGAUGAUUUUAUUUUUCACCUCAGUGAAAACAUAAAUGAUGCAGUUGCUUUCCUUACCUCAUCUUUUGUAAAUUAUUAGCUAUACUGCAAUGAUAUUUACUUUGGAAGUAUAAUUUAGUAGGCCAGAAAUUGUGAAAUGUAAAUAUUAGUGCCUAACAGUGAUUUAGUUUGAAUAUAUGACAGCAAUUGGCUAAGUUCUUCCAACCCCUCUG
Zonotrichia albicollis (white-throated sparrow) is the source of this 507-nucleotide long non-coding RNA. The record is from Ensembl. Lineage: Eukaryota; Metazoa; Chordata; Aves; Passeriformes; Passerellidae.